RNAcentral lists this ribosomal RNA (513 nucleotides) under uncultured bacterium. Its description in RNAcentral is "partial 16S ribosomal RNA". It matches the Rfam family "Bacterial small subunit ribosomal RNA", at positions 28 to 523 of the family's 1533-position model. The record is from RNAcentral.
GAUGAACGCUGGCGGCGUGCCUAAUACAUGCAAGUCGAACGCGCAGCGAAAGGUGCUUGCACCUUUCAAGCGAGUGGCGAACGGGUGAGUAACACGUGGAUAACCUGCCUCAAGGCUGGGGAUAACAUUUGGAAACAGAUGCUAAUACCGAAUAAAACUUAGUAUCGCAUGAUACAAAGUUAAAAGGCGCUACGGCGUCACCUAGAGAUGGAUCCGCGGUGCAUUAGUUAGUUGGUGGGGUAAAGGCUUACCAAGACGAUGAUGCAUAGCCGAGUUGAGGGACUGGUCGGCCGCAUUGGGACUGAGACACGGCCCAAACUCCUACGGGAGGCUGCAGUAGGGAAUCUUCCACAAGGGGCGCAAGCCUGAUGGAGCAACGCCGCGUGUGUGAUGAAGGCUUUCGGGUCGUAAAGCACUGUUGUAUGGGAAGAAAUGCUAAAAUAGGGAAUGAUUUUAGUUUGACGGUACCAUACCAGAAAGGGACGGCUAAAUACGUGCCAGCAGCCGCCGUAA